UCUUUGGUGAUCUAACUUAUGAUUAACUUUAUAAGUCAUAAAGCUAGAUUCACCAAAGAAA
Molecule: microRNA precursor, 61 nt
Filed under: Tribolium castaneum (red flour beetle)
Lineage: Eukaryota; Metazoa; Arthropoda; Insecta; Coleoptera; Tenebrionidae
Description: Tca-Mir-9-P9b-v2_pre stem-loop
Source: RNAcentral